RNAcentral lists this transfer RNA (84 nucleotides) under Danaus plexippus plexippus. It matches the Rfam family "tRNA". From Rfam's summary of the family: Transfer RNA (tRNA) molecules are approximately 80 nucleotides in length. Their secondary structure includes four short double-helical elements and three loops (D, anti-codon, and T loops). The record is from Rfam by way of RNAcentral. Lineage: Eukaryota; Metazoa; Arthropoda; Insecta; Lepidoptera; Nymphalidae.
GGCUCGUUAGCUCAGUAGGUUAGAGCACCGAUCUAAAGAUUGCUUGACAGUCGGGGGGCGAAGGUUCGAAUCCUUCACGAGUCG